UCGCAGCAGAACUAUGAAAACACGCUGUGAACGGUUGCCGAUUGCGGGGACAAGGUACACCUCACAACUGACAGAACGAUUGCCACACGACUGUCGCAGCAGAACUUUGAAAAAACGCUGUGAACGGUUGCCGAUUGCGGGGACAAGGUACACCUCACAACUGACAGAACGAUUGCCAUACGACUGUCGCAGCAG
Long non-coding RNA from Amphibalanus amphitrite, 195 nucleotides. RefSeq lists it as uncharacterized. NCBI's taxonomy places the organism in Eukaryota, Metazoa, Arthropoda, Thecostraca, Balanomorpha, Balanidae. The transcript is spliced from 2 exons. The record is from RefSeq and is a predicted model, not a curated record.